RNAcentral lists this ribosomal RNA (857 nucleotides) under Spathularia sp. Z. L. Yang 5468. RNAcentral's name for it is "eukaryotic LSU rRNA". It matches the Rfam family "Eukaryotic large subunit ribosomal RNA", at positions 65 to 939 of the family's 3401-position model. Lineage: Eukaryota; Fungi; Ascomycota; Leotiomycetes; Rhytismatales; Cudoniaceae. The record is from RNAcentral.
CCAACAGGGAUUGCCUCAGUAACGGCGAGUGAAGCGGCAACAGCUCAAAUUUGAAAGCUGGCUCUUUUAGGGCCCGCAUUGUAAUUUGUAGAGGAUGCUUCAGGUGCGGCGCUGGUCUAAGUUCUUUGGAACAAGACGUCAUAGAGGGUGAGAAUCCCGUAUGUGACUAGCUGCCUGUGCCUGUGUGAAGCUCCUUCGACGAGUCGAGUUGUUUGGGAAUGCAGCUCAAAAUGGGUGGUGUACUUCAUCUAAAGCUAAAUAUUGGCCAGAGACCGAUAGCGCACAAGUAGAGUGAUCGAAAGAUGAAAAGCACUUUGGAAAGAGAGUUAAACAGUACGUGAAAUUGUUGAAAGGGAAGCGCUUGCAAUCAGACUUGCGCGGCGUCGAUCAACCUGGGUUCUCCCUGGUGCACUCGGCGCUGCUCAGGCCAGCAUCAGUUUCAGCGGUUGGAUAAAGGCCUAGGGAACGUGGGUUACUUCGGUGACUGUUAUAGCCCUAGGUGCAAUGCAGCCUGCUGGGACUGAGGACCGCGCUUCGGCUAGGAUGCUGGCGUAAUGGUUGUAAGCGACCCGUCUUGAAACACGGACCAAGGAGUGUAAUAUUUAUGCGAGUUUUUGGGUGUUAAACCCAUAAGCGUAAUGAAAGUGAACGGAGGUGAGAACCCUUCAGGGUGCAUCAUCGACCGAUCCUGAAGUCUUCGGAUGGAUUUGAGUAAGAGCAUAACUAUUGCGACCCGAAAGAUGAUGAUCUAUACUUGAAUAGGGUGAAGCCAGAGGAAACUCUGGUGGAGGCUCGCAGCGGUUCUGACGUGCAAAUCGAUCGUCAAAUUUGAGUAUAGGGGCGAAAGACUAAUCGAA